This 253-nucleotide ribosomal RNA is filed under the name uncultured bacterium. Its description in RNAcentral is "partial 16S ribosomal RNA". It matches the Rfam family "Bacterial small subunit ribosomal RNA", at positions 524 to 776 of the family's 1533-position model. The record is from RNAcentral.
UACGGGGGGGGCAAGCGUUGUUCGGAUUUACUGGGCGUAAAGGGCGCGUAGGCGGUUUACCGAGUCACUUGUGAAAUCUCCGGGCUUAACCCGGAGCGGCCAAGUGAUACUGGCAGACUGGAGUGCGGAAGGGGCCACCGGAAUUCUCGGUGUAGCGGUGAAAUGCGUAGAUAUCGAGAGGAACACCUGCGGCGAAGGCGGGUGGCUGGGCCGACACUGACGCUGAGGCGCGAAAGCCAGGGGAGCGAACGGG